UUCUUUUUCUUUUUCUGGACUUUUUUCUAUUUUGGGAUUAGAUGUCCCAUUUUGCAAUUUUUGCACUAGUCCUGCCCAUAGGAUCCACUACACUAUCUCCCCUUCUUUUGCCCUUAAGUUCAGUUUGACCGGGACGACUCAAAUCUAGGCAAAUUUAUAAGUGAAUUCAAAUGAAUUAUUAAGCUCAAAAGGGUUUGCAAGUGAUAGAUGUAGGGUUGGUCAGUUUGGCUUUGUGGGCUAAAGAAAGAAUUUGCCUAAAUCAUUUAACACACCUAGACUAUGUACACAGGGUU
This 293-nucleotide long non-coding RNA is filed under the name Salvia miltiorrhiza (redroot sage). Its description in RNAcentral is "long non-coding RNA (SMIL_LNC004170)". The record is from RNAcentral. Lineage: Eukaryota; Viridiplantae; Streptophyta; Magnoliopsida; Lamiales; Lamiaceae.